UACGGAGGGUGCAAGCGUUGUCCGGAAUUAUUGGGCGUAAAGAGCUCGUAGGCGGUCUGUUGCGUCCGCUGUGAAAACUAGGGGCUUAACCCCGAGCCUGCAGUGGAUACGGGCAGACUAGAGGUAGGUAGGGGAGAAUGGAAUUCCCGGUGUAGCGGUGAAAUGCGCAGAUAUCGGGAGGAACACCGGUGGCGAAGGCGGUUCUCUGGGCCUUACCUGACGCUGAGGAGCGAAAGCGUGGGGAGCAAACAGG
This 253-nucleotide ribosomal RNA is filed under the name uncultured bacterium. Its description in RNAcentral is "partial 16S ribosomal RNA". It matches the Rfam family "Bacterial small subunit ribosomal RNA", at positions 524 to 776 of the family's 1533-position model. The record is from RNAcentral.